This 419-nucleotide ribosomal RNA is filed under the name uncultured bacterium. RNAcentral describes it as "bacterial SSU rRNA". It matches the Rfam family "Bacterial small subunit ribosomal RNA", at positions 361 to 777 of the family's 1533-position model. The record is from RNAcentral.
AUAUUGGACAAUGGUCGCAAGACUGAUCCAGCCAUGCCGCGUGCAGGAUGACAGCCCUAUGGGUCGUAAACUGCUUUUGUGCGAGAAAAAACCCCUCUACGUGUAGAGGGCUGAUUGUAUCGUAAGAAUAAGGAUCGGCUAACUCCGUGCCAGCAGCCGCGGUAAUACGGAGGAUCCAAGCGUUAUCCGGAUUCAUUGGGUUUAAAGGGUGCGUAGGCGGAAUGAUAAGUCAGUGGUGAAAGCCUGCAGCUUAACUGCAGAACUGCCAUUGAUACUGUCAAUCUUGAGUACAUUUGAUGUGGGCGGAAUGUGUCAUGUAGCGGUGAAAUGCUUAGAUAUGACACAGAACACCGAUUGCGAAGGCAGCUCACAAAACUGUAACUGACGCUGAGGCACGAAAGCGUGGGUAUCAAACAGGA